Molecule: ribosomal RNA, 405 nt
Filed under: uncultured bacterium
Lineage: Bacteria
Description: bacterial SSU rRNA
Rfam family: Bacterial small subunit ribosomal RNA
Source: RNAcentral
CAGCCGCCGCGGUAAUUCGAAGGUGGCAAGCGUUAUUCGGAUUUACUGGGCGUACAGGGAGAGUAGGCGGUUCGGUAAGCCCUCUGUGAAAUCUUCAGGCUUAACCUGGAAAAGUCGGAGGGGACUGCUGGGCUAGAGGACGGGAGAGGAGCGCGGAAUUCCCGGUGUAGCGGUGAAAUGCGUAGAGAUCGGGAGGAAGGCCGGUGGCGAAGGCGGCGCUCUGGAACGUUUCUGACGCUGAGGCUCGAAAGCGUGGGGAGCAAACAGGAUUAGAUACCCUGGUAGUCCACGCCUUAAACUAUGAAUACUAAGUGUCGGCGGGUUACCGCCGGUGCCGCAGCUAACGCAUUAAGUAUUCCGCCUGGGAAGUACGGCGGCAAGGUUGAAACUUAAAGGAAUUGACGG